The sequence is a ribosomal RNA, 347 nucleotides long. It matches the Rfam family "Bacterial small subunit ribosomal RNA", at positions 1 to 337 of the family's 1533-position model.
UUAUUCGAGAGUUUGAUCCUGGCUCAGGAUGAACGCUGGCGGCGUGCCUAACACAUGCAAGUCGAGCGGAGGGAUUGAGAGCACUUGUGCUUUUGAGAACUUAGCGGCGGACGGGUGAGUAACACGUGAGCAAUCUGCCUUUUGCCGGGGAAUAACACUGGGAAACCAGUGCUAAUACCGCAUAACAUCCAAGAACGGCAUCGUACUUGGAUCAAAGGAGAAAUCCAGCAAAAGAUGAGCUCGCGCCCGAUUAGGUAGUUGGUGAGGUAAUGGCUCACCAAGCCCACGAUCGGUAGCCGGACUGAGAGGUUGAACGGCCACAUUGGGACUGAGACACGGCCCAGACU